Long non-coding RNA from Tribolium castaneum (red flour beetle), 2012 nucleotides. RefSeq lists it as uncharacterized. The record is from RefSeq and is a predicted model, not a curated record. NCBI's taxonomy places the organism in Eukaryota, Metazoa, Arthropoda, Insecta, Coleoptera, Tenebrionidae. The transcript has 2 exons.
UUCUUGCGCCAAGUUAACCGCUUGUCUUAUCAGAAGGCCCGCUUGAUUGAAGCGCCGUUUGACGACGCAAGCUCUUGACGCCUGUCUCAGCACCUCAAUGAUGAUUCUACAGCGAAAUUAUUAAUACGUGAGCUGCAGACCACGCAAACGACUGGAAACGUGAGAAAAUUAGUGAAAUGCGCCAACACGUCACGAAGACGGCGGUGUUACCUCAUCAUAUUCGCUACGAUGAAAGUACAGCGUUGAGAAAUUCGCAUAGAGGCCAGCUAGAUUAGGUAAAGCGUCCAAUUUUUCCAACUGUUUUAUUACUUUUUGCGCGGAAUUGAACGUGUUUUCGGCCGCUUUGAACUCGCAGUAAAUGGUCUCCGCGUAAAUUCGCCUAAAAUGCUAACUGAGUUUAGAAAACACAAAUCGGGGAAAUACUUGUGAUAGCACUCGAGGCAUUUCUUCAGGAUCUCGACGCUUUCGUCCUGUUCCUUGCACAAGUCCUCUGUUAGUGUCAGUAUCUUAAUGCUGUAGUCAUACCAGCCCCCUUCGUUGAAGAAGCUGCCCACGUGUAUGCCUACACUUAUCGCCCGCAAGGGCUCCUUUUGCAAGUAAUUUGAAAAGUCCUGGAUUAGUUCGUCAGGAACGUUCGAUCCGUGAUUAAUUAAGCCUUGAAAACUCUUCAGCAACUUGACGCGUUUGUGUUUAACGUUAAGCAUUCGAAUAAAGACUUCCAGUUCACUGAAUUCGACGGCGAGAAGGCACGCCCGCUUUUCAGUGAACAUCUAGAGUGAGCCAAGUGUUUAAUGGAGUUUCGAUAAAGCGCAUACUUACUGUGUAAUAAAAAUCAAAGAGGACAUUAUCAGGCAAAGAUCUGAACUCUUUUUUGCAAAAUUUACAAACUGUAACACAAUCUUUGACAGCUGCUUUGACACAAAUUGCGUAUAGCGACGGAGGACUUUUCAUUUUUACCACGAUUGCACACAAUAUUGAACUAGUUUUUAUUUGCUAAUCACACAUUAAUGAAGCAGCUGAUAUAACUCCAAAUAACAUUGACCAGCUGAGAGAUAUAAACACGGCAGAUUUCUGUUUUAUCGACGCGAUACACACGUCAAAACAAACAAUCGAUUUUGAAAUAACAAGUUUAUUAUUGUACAAAUUACGAAUUAUUUACGAUAUGAUACACACAUUAAACGAAACGAUAAGUAAAUAUUGGUGACUCAUAUUAUUAGGUUUGGGGAAACUAGCCGUUAGAUUUGUUGAGCAGUUGAAAAGUCGUAACUUGCUGCUUGUGAUGUGUGCGGGGCAUUUCGAUCGAUGUCUUCGUAACUUGAUUGUUGCGGAGCUUCCCCGAAUAAACCUGAUAACGCCCCUGCAAAAAAUUGUAACAUUCUUUGGUUUUGCGUGUCAGUAUUCCAAACCGUUGGAUCCCGUUCUUUCUUCAAGGUUUUUAAUCAAGACAAUGGUACUAAAAGGUCGCACAAUUAAGUGUAGGAUGCACAUUGCAGCUGAAAACUUUUCUCGUGCCGAAUGUGCUAAAAAAACAAUUUAGUAUAAUUAGAACACACAAAAGUGUGCCUUACCAUCGCUCGGGUAAGACAUUACUAGCAAUAAAAUGUCUAAAAAUAUUGAAACUCCGUUUACAACAAUGGCCUAGAAAAAUUAAUUUCAUUAAAAUUCAGUGAUGAUUCAUGCUGCUACCAAUUGCAAAGGUUCCUCGUUUUGUGGCUGAAUCAGACUCCAGACCAGGAAAAUAAUAAAAAAGAAAUUGUAAAAUAAGUAAGCCGAAGUGCUCCAAAAACCCAUCGAACUGAGGGCGAUAAAAACAAAGUGUGAUAAAAAUAUCACCUAAAAUGUAACGAAAUAAAAAUUGACAGAAACGCAUUUUGUACUUACUUUUAAAUUGAGAUUUCGUAUUUGGGGUAAAGCCGGCAUUUUAUUAAACAAUUACGUUCGAACUUUAUUACUCAAUAAAAUAAAACGAAGAUCCAAAAUAAACUUUUGACACCGAUGACAUUUCUGUCAAA